UACGGAGGGGGCGAGCGUUAUUCGGAAUUAUUGGGCGUAAAGGGCGCGUAGGCGGCCUUGUAAGUCAAAGGUGAAAUCCCUCGGCUCAACUGAGGAACUGCCUUUGAAACUGCAAGGCUUGAGGCCGGGAGGGGGUAGCGGAGUUCCCAAUGUAGCGGUGAAAUGCGUAGAUAUUGGGAGGAACACCAGUGGCGAAGGCGGCUACCUGGACCGGUUCUGACGCUGAGGCGCGAAAGCGUGGGUAGCAAACAGG
Molecule: ribosomal RNA, 253 nt
Filed under: uncultured bacterium
Lineage: Bacteria
Description: partial 16S ribosomal RNA
Rfam family: Bacterial small subunit ribosomal RNA
Source: RNAcentral